This 459-nucleotide ribosomal RNA is filed under the name uncultured bacterium. Its description in RNAcentral is "partial 16S ribosomal RNA". It matches the Rfam family "Bacterial small subunit ribosomal RNA", at positions 338 to 795 of the family's 1533-position model. The record is from RNAcentral.
CCUACGGGGGGCAGCAGUGAGGAAUAUUGGUCAAUGGCCGGAAGGCUGAACCAGCCAAGCCGCGUGAAGGACGAAGGUGCCAAGCAUUGUAAACUUCUUUUGUCAAGGGACAAAAUCAGGCUCGAGAGCCUGCCCGAGGGUACUUGAAGAAAAAGCAUCGGCUAACACCGCGCCAGCAGCGCCGGUAAUACGGAGGAGGCGAGCGUAAUCCGGAUUGAUUGGGUUUAAAGGGUGGGUAGGCGGACUGUUAAGUUAGGGGUAAAGGCCCGGGGCUCAACCCCGGCGAGCCGUUGAAACUGGCUGUCUUGAGAUGUCGAGAGGUAUGCGGAAUGCGCAGUGUAGCGGUGAAAUGCUUAGAUAUUGCGCAGAACUCCGAUGGCGAAGGCAGCAUACCGGCGGCGACCUGACGCUGAGGCACGAAAGCGUGGGUAUCGAACAGGAUUAGAUACCCCAGUAGUC